GGGGGCCCGCACAAGCGGCGGAGCAUGCGGAUUAAUUCNAUGCAACGCGAAGAACCUUACCAAGGCUUGACAUGGACCGGACCGGGCUGGAAACAGUCCUUCCCCUUUGGGGCCGGUUCACAGGUGGUGCAUGGUUGUCGUCAGCUCGUGUCGUGAGAUGUUGGGUUAAGUCCCGCAACGAGCGCAACCCUCGUUCUAUGUUGCCAGCGCGUAAUGGCGGGGACUCAUGGGAGACUGCCGGGGUCAACUCGGAGGAAGGUGGGGACGACGUCAAAUCAUCAUGCCCCUUAUGUCUUGGGCUUCACGCAUGCUACAAUGGCCGGUACAAAGGGUUGCGAUACUGUGAGGUGGAGCUAAUCCCAAAAAGCCGGUCUCAGUUCGGAUUGGGGUCUGCAACUCGACCCCAUGAAGUCGGAGUCGCUAGUAAUCGCAGAUCAGCAACGCUGCGGUGAAUACGUUCCCGGGCCUUGUACACACCGCCCGUCAAGUCACGAAAGUUGGUAACACCCGAAGCCGGUGGCCUAACCCCUUGUGGGAGGGAAGCUGUCGAAGGUGGGACUGGCGAUUGGGGACU
This 574-nucleotide ribosomal RNA is filed under the name uncultured bacterium. Its description in RNAcentral is "bacterial SSU rRNA". It matches the Rfam family "Bacterial small subunit ribosomal RNA", at positions 915 to 1482 of the family's 1533-position model. The record is from RNAcentral.